GUCUACGGCCAUACCACCCUGAACGCGCCCGAUCUCGUCUGCUCUCGGAAGCUAAGCAGGGUCGGGCCUGGUUAGUACUUGGAUGGGAGAAAUCUACACCUGUCAUGUGAACA
RNAcentral lists this ribosomal RNA (113 nucleotides) under Neogale vison (American mink). Lineage: Eukaryota; Metazoa; Chordata; Mammalia; Carnivora; Mustelidae. The record is from RNAcentral.